RNAcentral lists this microRNA precursor (75 nucleotides) under Haemonchus placei. RNAcentral's name for it is "mir-5928 microRNA precursor family". It matches the Rfam family "mir-5928 microRNA precursor family". Lineage: Eukaryota; Metazoa; Nematoda; Chromadorea; Rhabditida; Trichostrongylidae. The record is from Rfam by way of RNAcentral.
GGCACAGGUCUGAAGUGGAGUAAAUUAGUAGGAUUGGCCAACCCUACUUGACUACACUACUUCAACCCUGUGCCG